RNAcentral lists this long non-coding RNA (1546 nucleotides) under Gallus gallus (chicken). Lineage: Eukaryota; Metazoa; Chordata; Aves; Galliformes; Phasianidae. The record is from RNAcentral.
GAACGCCUUUGCAGCUGAAGAGCAUGAUUAUCCUACAGCAUCAGUGGGAUGGGAAAAUGCCUAACUUAAGAGCAAGCCACUCAGAGAACUGAGCACUCACUGCAGAGAGACAAGGAAGAGCCACAGAGGGGGUUGUGGUGUGUAGGUUCAGCCCGGGAGUAAGGUUUCUGGGUUUACAAGUGAUCUUGAAAAAGUAAAAAUGAAUAGAGAUCUUGAUACUUUCGGAAAGCCAAUGCUGCACAGUCAGCCCUAGCAUCUUCUGUAAUAACAGGAACAAUACGUUGAUACUGUUGGAAACAAGAUACCAAAUAACAGACAAGUAUAGGAGACAAGUCAUGUUGUGGCUGUUGAAUGGCUCUUAUGCACAACUGAUGUAAGUAUCUGUAGGUGACGGUUUUGUGUCUCUCUAUAUAGAUACAUACUGAAUGAUAUUUUAGUUAUAGUAAACAUGUUCUGCUCCCCACCAUAUUAACUGCUUACAGAGGAAAAAUAUGGGAAAGCAAUUUAAUACACAUUACCUGGUAAUAUAGGAAAGACUGAACACUGAUUUUGAGAGAGGGCUUUUCAGAUGUCUUGGAAUCACCGUUAAAUUUCUUCAUUUUUUUAAUGCCAGUGACCAAGUGGCCAAAGAAAUGCUUCCACAACUGCUGUGUGCUGCUGGCUUUUUCUCCACUGAAAAUAGAAGGAACAGAAAGAUAAGAGUAAAACAAAAUGGACAAACAAAACAGACAAUCAACUGUUGGCAUCAGAGAUAGAUCUGAUGAACCUGGUGUGUUUUCUGACAAAAGAUUGGUUGAAGAGCUGAAGAAUAACAAAACCUAUACACCUGAGUGGCAUUUUUCAGCUCUGCAAUUUGUUUGUUCUUUUAUUUGCAGUUUUACAAUGUCUGUGAAAAUUAUGGUAACUAGUUCUGAAGACCUGAAUUUCAUGCUUUAUGCUUUCAUGCAUGGAAUUAUCUAUGUUAACAUUGGGUAAAAGGGAAAAUAGAGAAAAAAACAUCACGUGAUUGAUCUGACCAUAAUAUUCUGUUCUGAUUAUCGUAACACAUAUAAGGUAUUUACAGAAGCUCCUUUUAUUAAUUUAGCAGAAAGUAUGAUAUACCUGCUGCUUCUUGUAUUUCAUGUGCAGUGACUGCCAUUCCUUACAAAAGUUGAAGAUCAAAUGGAAAUCUUAAUAAAAGUUUGUUCUCAAAAGCCAAAAAUCAGACCUCUGUUAGAAAUUUUCUGAACUACUUGGAAGAAUAAAUAAGUUGGCAUAGAAAACAAAACAUAAUCAAAUAGGAACAAAAGUUUACUUUGAAAAACCUUAAUAAAUUCUUGUAAAUAUUUUGCAGAACUCAGAAAACUGCAAGUGUGGAAGGAGUAUUUCUCUCUCUCUUUUUAUUUAAGGAAUAAAAGUUAGAUUGGCACUUUAAAAAAAUCCAUUAAUUACCACUAUUUAUAUUUUAUAAAUGGAAAAAUAAACACAUAAUGAGAAGAUGAUCAAAUAGCAGAAGUGGAAGCAGCAUCCUUCAUGGGGGAAGACAGUGGCCAUGGAGGAGCAGCAG